AUGGAUGUGAAAGCCUUUCAUUGCAAAGCGGGCUUUUUUGUUGGCAACGCGGAAGAGCAGAUCCCGCAGGCUCGACUCCCGGCUCGCCCGGUCCGUCGGGGAGGUGAGAGCUGGCAAAGAUGCAGGCAGGGAAGGAAAGGGCUGCGACAUCCCCCAGGAGGUCACAGUCAACGAUUAAGGAUAAUUUAUUUUCUUUUCUUUCUUCCUUCCCUUCCUUCCUUUCUCUCUUGUUCUUUUUUUCUCAUUCUUUCAUUCUUCAUCAAUCUUUCUAGUUUUCCUUACUUUUUUCCUCUCCCUUUUCCUUUUCUUUCCUUUCAUCUUCCUUUCCCUUAUUUCCUUUUUUCUUCCUUUUUUCCUUCCUUCCCUUCCUCUCCCUCUCAUUCCUUUUCUCUCAUUCCUUCACUCUUUCUCAUUCUUUCCUUCUCUCUCAUUCUUUUUCAUCCUGUUUUUCUUUUCUUUCCUUCUUUCUCUCUCCUUUUCUCUUUUUUCCUUUUCUUCUCUCUCCCUUUUUCCCUUUCUAUCUCUCUCUCUGUUUUUCUUUCUUUCCUUCUUUCUCUGUCUAUCUAUCUAUCCAUCGCAGCUAGGAAGCAUUUUAUUUCCCACACACUUGUGCCCAGCGCAAAAUGCAGCCUUCCCGGGCGGCAGCCGCUCCCUGCACCGUCUCCGCCAGCCCCGCGGGAGGCAAAGCCACGCGGCGCGGAUGCGGCACGGAUGCGGAUGCGGCAGCCCCCUGCUGCUGCAAGCUGAGGCCUGGGAUAACUCGUUCCACUCAAAACCCCUGGCCCGUCACUGUCACCUGGGAGCGUGUCGACCGAUUCCAGGAGGCUCCAACUUUUGUUAGGGCAGCGUGAGCCGGCUGCGACGCUCGGUCAGAGCCUGCCUGCGUCACGGGCAGAUCCGUCGGGAUCCCAUCUCUCCGGGAUGCUAGAGCCUGUUAACGGGAAAAGCGCUAACCUGUGCCCGGGUGCUCGGCUCGAGCCGCUCCAGGACCCCCCCGGACCGCGAAAUCGCGUUUCAGCCAGCACAGACGCUCACCCCUACCAGAUCCGCUGCCUGCCUUAUGCCGAGCAGCAGCACAGUUUGGUUUUCCAGGUUUUUAGCCAAAACAGCCGCGAGGCCAGCCCAAAAGACGGAAGAGAAACUCCCGAAACGGCCGCGUUCACCAGCUUCCCGGCAGUGACGAAACUCCGUCGUUUUACCAGCAACCUUUGGAGCGCUUUUCGAUAAAAAGCAAGACCGGUGACUACUGACAAAACUACAAAAGUCCUUCGGCUGCAUCGGCCUUUUAAAUGACGCUACAGUCAAACAGGCGCCCAAAAUUCUCUUUUUUGCAGUGGCUGCAGCCCGAGGCGACAUCCCUGCACCCAACACGGCUGCAGCGAGCGACGAAUUAUUACUAUACGCGUUUUUUCCACCCCGUGCGCUCGAAUUAAGCAUGCUUUUCGGGGGCGACCCCCCAAAUCCCCAUCGAAGCGCCACGAGGAAGGCUCUGCGGCGGGCAGGAGCUCUUCUUCUCGCCCACCAACAAGACGAGCCCCGGGAGACAGGGCUACAUUUUCAUCCCGAGGUUAUAAUCUGAAUUUUCCUUUCUAAAACCCGGUGCAAAAGCUGCUCUGAUACCCACUUAUUUACGUACCUUCGGAGAUGCACAGGCCACGUGCUCCAGCUUAAUCGCAGCAAGGUGCAAUAUAUGUUAAUAGCAUAUAUUGAUACCCCCCGUCUCGCUCACCACUUUGAGGCGGUUUCCCGGCAAGAGCGAGUUAUAUGAAUUAGCAGCACUAAAUAAACUAAUAGCCGGAGGAAAAAGGAGAACGCGC
RNAcentral lists this long non-coding RNA (1817 nucleotides) under Apteryx haastii (Great spotted kiwi). RNAcentral's name for it is "lncRNA (ENSAHAG00000009885.1)". Lineage: Eukaryota; Metazoa; Chordata; Aves; Apterygiformes; Apterygidae. The record is from RNAcentral.